This 275-nucleotide unclassified non-coding RNA is filed under the name Hevea brasiliensis (rubber tree). Lineage: Eukaryota; Viridiplantae; Streptophyta; Magnoliopsida; Malpighiales; Euphorbiaceae. The record is from RNAcentral.
GGGAUGCCCACAUCCAGGCUCCUUAAAUCGGUUGACCUUUGAGGAAGUGUAGAGAUGAAGUCUACAUAACUGUAUAACAAAGUGAAACUCUUCAACGACCACUUAAAGGUGUUCGAUGAAGCCCGUCAAAUUCCUUUGAAACAGCUCUAGCGCCAAACUCUUAUUAGCUUUCAAGGUGGCAAUCUGUUAAUCUCUGCCAUUGACAAACUCUCUAUGAUUUUUGACUAUCACCUCAUAACGAUCUUAAAUCUGUCAAGUUAGCCAAGAUGCUUGAA